UGUGACGCCUCACUGUCUUCCUCCUCUUGACGGUGCGCUGCCUCCUUUUUCAGGUACUCAAUCUCCCUACAAGGCACGCACAAAGACACAUGCAUCAACGAGAUAUUGUCUUGGCAUUUGAUGAAUCAAAGUAAGAAGAUGAUGCUCCACUGAGGGACGAAGGACGGGAAGGCAGUUGAAAGAUUCAAGACAGAAAAGGGUCCAGCUCGACGGGAGACAAUGAGUCUUGGUGUUCGGCCAAGUCGAAAACCUCGAUGGAAUUGGGAAACAUGGGACUCAUCUCCUCAUCCUCAUCUGUGGCAUAUUCACCUGUCUAGAAGACAUCAACAAAGAGUUUGUUGGAUCAGCUGAGCCACUUCGCUCUGCUCCCCCGGCUUCUCCCGACCAAUCACAAAUCUGGGAAUG
This is a long non-coding RNA of Syngnathus acus (greater pipefish), 405 nucleotides long. RefSeq lists it as uncharacterized. Lineage: Eukaryota; Metazoa; Chordata; Actinopteri; Syngnathiformes; Syngnathidae. The record is from RefSeq and is a predicted model, not a curated record. The transcript is spliced from 4 exons.